CCCGAAAGAGCCGCUCGCCGUUUGCCGUUGUCUCCCGUCGUCCGAUGCAUGGACACGGGAUUUAUUUUCAGAAGGAAAAGCUGGAGGCGGAGUGUGAUUUGAAUCAUAUCCUCAUUAAAAGCAAAGAAACCCAUCUAGUGCUGAAGACCCUGUCAGAAACUUGUAUGUAAUUAGUUGCUGUGAUUGGGCAGAAUGGCUUCACCGCUGAGUGGAAGAACCAGCCGACCUCGGCCCUCAGUGACUGUGAUUUGAGGAACGGCAUUACACUGUUUCCCCUCUCUGACCAAAGCCAAAGCUGGGGGACAAUGUGAGAAUAUGGAAAUGUUUGCAAGCCAAUUGUAGUCACAAGUUGUGGUCAGCUUGUAGUGUAGUGGUUAAGGUACAUGACUGGGACCCGCAGUGUAGCCACAGUAAGAUCCGCACAGCCGUUGGGCCCUUGAGCAAGGCCCUUAACCCUGCAUUUGCUCCAGGGGAGAAUUGUCUCCUGCUUAGUCUAAUCAACUGUUAUACAUCGCUCUGGAUAAGAGUUUCUGCCACAUGCCAUUAAUGUAAUGUAAUGUAGUGUAGUGUAGUGUAGUGUAGUGUAAUGUAAUGUAAUGUAAUGUAGUCGGAUUGUAGUCUGUCAGGGGGCCUUCUGGAUAUGUGUUGACCCCAAACACUCUUAAUAGACGAAUAAUCAAGCAGCAUUGAGGGCGUUAACAAAAACAUGAUAUUUAAAGCUUACAUAGACUUAAUAGCUAGUUAAUCUUUUCUCCUUGUUGAUCAUUUGAGAAUAUGACAAAAAGCAACUUCCAAAAGCAAUGUCAAACCUACUUAAUGCUUAUGGUUGUAGAACCACUGUAUAAAAAUGGGUCAAGUGUCAUAAAGUUUUAGUUAUUUUUUAUUUUAAAUUAACAUUUUGAUGAAUACGUAUAUUUCUUGAACACCAAAAAUUAUCUCUGAUAAUUGAUUACAAAAUAUAUUACUUGGGUUGUCUGUUGGCAAAACAACUGACUUACUUCAUGUGAGGCUUAAGCAUGCUUGUGGUUGUAUGACUGGAUAAUGCAUAAGCUAUUAUAAACUCUACACAAAGGAGCUUAUUCUGAGCAAAUGAAUCAGAUGUCAGAAACCGCAAUUGUGAGAUAUUGUUUGUUUCUUUCCCCGGUAUAAUCACUGACUCAAACGCAGGUCAAAGCGACAGCGCUGCAGAUGAUGUAGAGACGUUUCGCAGUCACGCAUGAUGGCUCGCUGCUUCACAAGGGCUGGUUGAAAGCAAGGUGUGACAGAUUACCAGGUUAUAAUUGAUCAGCUGAGGGAAUCGCAGUAGGAGGUUAAACCCGGCAGUAGAUUGAUUCAUUCGUUUCUGCUCGUAACCACCACUUGUCAGUGAUAUGAAUGUGUUAAUGGAAUUGCUGGUGAAAACCUGGCAUGUGUGAGCGACUGUUAUGUAAGGCAAGGUUUUUUUAUUUUUUAUUCCUUAAAUCCCAUGUUGACCCAGACUUGGACAGUCCUCUUUGGUGUGCGUGCGUGCAAGCGCAAACAGCUGUGUCCAGCCUGUGUUUCUCAGUAUUUCACAGAUUGUUGGGUAACUUGGAACACAUUGCAUUCCACCACAGACAUUCUUAUCCAGGAGAACAUCAGUGGUACUCUACAGAAAACAUGGCACACAUCUUACGUGAAUGAUUUCUCUUUAAAAACAAAAGUACAUUCCUUGUCAAGGUUCUUCUGUGAUUUCUAGCUGAAUGUAAAAUAAA
Long non-coding RNA from Conger conger (European conger), 1733 nucleotides. RefSeq lists it as uncharacterized. The record is from RefSeq and is a predicted model, not a curated record. The transcript has 3 exons. Lineage: Eukaryota; Metazoa; Chordata; Actinopteri; Anguilliformes; Congridae.